GAAGUGGUACAAUGGGACAGUACACCAGGCUGUUAAGCAGAAGGUUGGUGGUUCGAGCCCACCCAGGGACA
This is a non-coding RNA of Podarcis lilfordi (Lilford's wall lizard), 71 nucleotides long. NCBI's taxonomy places the organism in Eukaryota, Metazoa, Chordata, Lepidosauria, Squamata, Lacertidae. The record is from the annotation of a GenBank genome assembly.